CCUACGGGUGGCAGCAGUGGGGAAUAUUGGGCAAUGGGCGCAAGCCUGACCCAGCAACGCCGCGUGAAGGAAGAAGGCUUUCGGGUUGUAAACUUCUUUUAAGAGGGAAGCGCAGAAGACGGUACCUCUUGAAUAAGCCACGGCUAACUACGUGCCAGCAGCCGCGGUCAUACGUAGGUGGCAAGCGUUUUCCGGAUUUACUGGUGGUAAAGGGCGUGUAGCCGGGCUGACAAGUCAGAUGUGAAAUCCCGUGGCUCAACCACGGACCUGCAUUUGAAACUGUCGGUCGUGAGUAUCGGAGAGGCAGGCGGAAUGCCUAGUGUAGCGGUGAAAUGCGUAGAUAUUAGGAGGAACACCAGUGGCGAAGGCGGCCUGCUGGACGACAACUGACGGUGAGGCGCGAAAGCGUGGGGAGCAAACAGGAUUAGAUACCCCUGUAGUC
RNAcentral lists this ribosomal RNA (442 nucleotides) under uncultured bacterium. RNAcentral describes it as "partial 16S ribosomal RNA". It matches the Rfam family "Bacterial small subunit ribosomal RNA", at positions 338 to 795 of the family's 1533-position model. The record is from RNAcentral.